This 253-nucleotide ribosomal RNA is filed under the name uncultured bacterium. RNAcentral describes it as "partial 16S ribosomal RNA". It matches the Rfam family "Bacterial small subunit ribosomal RNA", at positions 524 to 776 of the family's 1533-position model. The record is from RNAcentral.
UACGGAAGGGGCAAGCGUUGUUCGGAAUCAUUGGGCGUAAAGGGCGCGUAGGUGGUUCUGUAUGUCUACCGUGAAAGCAUGCAGCUCAACUGUAUUUGGUCGGUAGAAACUGCAGGACUUGAGGCUGGGAGGGGCUGGUGGAAUUCCCUGUGUAGCGGUGAAAUGCGUAGAUAUCGAGAGGAACACCUGCGGCGAAGGCGGGUUGCUGGGCUGACACUGACGCUGAAGCGCGAAAGCUAGGGGAGCGAACGGG